CAGCAGCGCGAAACCGUUACACUGCACGCACGUGCGAUAAGGGGACUCCGAGUGCGAGGGCAUAUCGUCCUCGCUUUCGUGUACCGUAGGGUGGUACACCAACAAGGGCUGGGCAAGACCGGUGCCAGCCGCCGCGGUAAUACCGGCAGCCCGAGUGAUGGCCGAUCUUAUUGGGCCUAAAGCGUCCGUAGCUGGCUGCGCAAGUCCGUCGGGAAAUCCACUCGCCCAACGAGUGGGCGUCCGACGGAAACUGCACAGCUUGGGACCGGAAGGCUCGAAGGGUACGUUCGGGGUAGGAGUGAAAUCCCAUAAUCCCGCACGGACCACCGAUGGCGAAAGCACUUCGAGAAAACGGAUCCGACAGUGAGGGACGAAAGCCAGGGUCUCCAACCGGAUUAGAUACCCGGGUAGUCCUGGCCGUAAACAAUGUUCGCUAGGUAUGACACAGACUACGCGUCUCUGUGUGCCGUAGGAAGCCGAGAAGCGAACCGC
This 492-nucleotide ribosomal RNA is filed under the name uncultured haloarchaeon. Its description in RNAcentral is "bacterial SSU rRNA". It matches the Rfam family "Archaeal small subunit ribosomal RNA", at positions 333 to 827 of the family's 1478-position model. The record is from RNAcentral. Lineage: Archaea; Methanobacteriati; Methanobacteriota; Halobacteria; Halobacteriales; Halobacteriaceae.